RNAcentral lists this ribosomal RNA (2903 nucleotides) under Salmonella enterica subsp. enterica serovar Dublin. Its description in RNAcentral is "bacterial LSU rRNA". It matches the Rfam family "Bacterial large subunit ribosomal RNA". Lineage: Bacteria; Pseudomonadati; Pseudomonadota; Gammaproteobacteria; Enterobacterales; Enterobacteriaceae. The record is from RNAcentral.
GGGUUGUGAGGUUAAGCGACUAAGCGUACACGGUGGAUGCCCUGGCAGUCAGAGGCGAUGAAGGGCGUGCUAAUCUGCGAUAAGCGCCGGUAAGGUGAUAUGAACCGUUAUAACCGGCGAUACCCGAAUGGGGAAACCCAGUGUGAUUCGUCACACUAUCAUUAACUGAAUCCAUAGGUUAAUGAGGCGAACCGGGGGAACUGAAACAUCUAAGUACCCCGAGGAAAAGAAAUCAACCGAGAUUCCCCCAGUAGCGGCGAGCGAACGGGGAGGAGCCCAGAGCCUGAAUCAGCAUGUGUGUUAGUGGAAGCGUCUGGAAAGGCGCGCGAUACAGGGUGACAGCCCCGUACACAAAAGCGCAUGUGCUGUGAGCUCGAUGAGUAGGGCGGGACACGUGGUAUCCUGUCUGAAUAUGGGGGGACCAUCCUCCAAGGCUAAAUACUCCUGACUGACCGAUAGUGAACCAGUACCGUGAGGGAAAGGCGAAAAGAACCCCGGCGAGGGGAGUGAAAAAGAACCUGAAACCGUGUACGUACAAGCAGUGGGAGCACAGGUUUACCUGUGUGACUGCGUACCUUUUGUAUAAUGGGUCAGCGACUUAUAUUCUGUAGCAAGGUUAACCGAAUAGGGGAGCCGGAGGGAAACCGAGUCUUAACCGGGCGUUAAGUUGCAGGGUAUAGACCCGAAACCCGGUGAUCUAGCCAUGGGCAGGUUGAAGGUUGGGUAACACUAACUGGAGGACCGAACCGACUAAUGUUGAAAAAUUAGCGGAUGACCUGUGGCUGGGGGUGAAAGGCCAAUCAAACCGGGAGAUAGCUGGUUCUCCCCGAAAGCUAUUUAGGUAGCGCCUCGUGAAUUCAUCUCCGGGGGUAGAGCACUGUUUCGGCUAGGGGGCCAUCCCGGCUUACCAACCCGAUGCAAACUGCGAAUACCGGAGAAUGUUAUCACGGGAGACACACGGCGGGUGCUAACGUCCGUCGUGAAGAGGGAAACAACCCAGACCGCCAGCUAAGGUCCCAAAGUCAUGGUUAAGUGGGAAACGAUGUGGGAAGGCCCAGACAGCCAGGAUGUUGGCUUAGAAGCAGCCAUCAUUUAAAGAAAGCGUAAUAGCUCACUGGUCGAGUCGGCCUGCGCGGAAGAUGUAACGGGGCUAAACCAUGCACCGAAGCUGCGGCAGCGNNGUUGGGUAGGGGAGCGUUCUGUAAGCCUGUGAAGGUGGCCUGUGAGGGUUGCUGGAGGUAUCAGAAGUGCGAAUGCUGACAUAAGUAACGAUAAAGCGGGUGAAAAGCCCGCUCGCCGGAAGACCAAGGGUUCCUGUCCAACGUUAAUCGGGGCAGGGUGAGUCGACCCCUAAGGCGAGGCCGAAAGGCGUAGUCGAUGGGAAACGGGUUAAUAUUCCCGUACUUGGUGUUACUGCGAAGGGGGGACGGAGAAGGCUAUGUUGGCCGGGCGACGGUUGUCCCGGUUUAAGCGUGUAGGUGUGUGUUCCAGGUAAAUCCGGUUCACUUUAACACUGAGGCGUGAUGACGAGGCACUACGGUGCUGAAGUAACAAAUGCCCUGCUUCCAGGAAAAGCCUCUAAGCAUCAGGUAACAUCAAAUCGUACCCCAAACCGACACAGGUGGUCAGGUAGAGAAUACCAAGGCGCUUGAGAGAACUCGGGUGAAGGAACUAGGCAAAAUGGUGCCGUAACUUCGGGAGAAGGCACGCUGACACGUAGGUGAAGUGAUUUACUCAUGGAGCUGAAGUCAGUCGAAGAUACCAGCUGGCUGCAACUGUUUAUUAAAAACACAGCACUGUGCAAACACGAAAGUGGACGUAUACGGUGUGACGCCUGCCCGGUGCCGGAAGGUUAAUUGAUGGGGUCAGCGCAAGCGAAGCUCCUGAUCGAAGCCCCGGUAAACGGCGGCCGUAACUAUAACGGUCCUAAGGUAGCGAAAUUCCUUGUCGGGUAAGUUCCGACCUGCACGAAUGGCGUAAUGAUGGCCAGGCUGUCUCCACCCGAGACUCAGUGAAAUUGAACUCGCUGUGAAGAUGCAGUGUACCCGCGGCAAGACGGAAAGACCCCGUGAACCUUUACUAUAGCUUGACACUGAACAUUGAGCCUUGAUGUGUAGGAUAGGUGGGAGGCUUUGAAGCGUGGACGCCAGUCUGCGUGGAGCCGACCUUGAAAUACCACCCUUUAAUGUUUGAUGUUCUAACGUGGACCCGUGAUCCGGGUUGCGGACAGUGUCUGGUGGGUAGUUUGACUGGGGCGGUCUCCUCCUAAAGAGUAACGGAGGAGCACGAAGGUUGGCUAAUCCUGGUCGGACAUCAGGAGGUUAGUGCAAUGGCAUAAGCCAGCUUGACUGCGAGCGUGACGGCGCGAGCAGGUGCGAAAGCAGGUCAUAGUGAUCCGGUGGUUCUGAAUGGAAGGGCCAUCGCUCAACGGAUAAAAGGUACUCCGGGGAUAACAGGCUGAUACCGCCCAAGAGUUCAUAUCGACGGCGGUGUUUGGCACCUCGAUGUCGGCUCAUCACAUCCUGGGGCUGAAGUAGGUCCCAAGGGUAUGGCUGUUCGCCAUUUAAAGUGGUACGCGAGCUGGGUUUAGAACGUCGUGAGACAGUUCGGUCCCUAUCUGCCGUGGGCGCUGGAGAACUGAGGGGGGCUGCUCCUAGUACGAGAGGACCGGAGUGGACGCAUCACUGGUGUUCGGGUUGUCAUGCCAAUGGCACUGCCCGGUAGCUAAAUGCGGAAGAGAUAAGUGCUGAAAGCAUCUAAGCACGAAACUUGCCCCGAGAUGAGUUCUCCCUGAGACUUAGAGUCUCCUGAAGGAACGUUGAAGACGACGACGUUGAUAGGCCGGGUGUGUAAGCGCAGCGAUGCGUUGAGCUAACCGGUACUAAUGAACCGUGAGGCUUAAC